This 321-nucleotide ribosomal RNA is filed under the name uncultured Pseudomonadota bacterium. RNAcentral describes it as "bacterial SSU rRNA". It matches the Rfam family "Bacterial small subunit ribosomal RNA", at positions 30 to 351 of the family's 1533-position model. The record is from RNAcentral. Lineage: Bacteria; Pseudomonadati; Pseudomonadota.
AUUGAACGCUGGCGGCAUGCCUUACACAUGCAAGUCGAACGGCAGCACGGGGGCAACCCUGGUGGCGAGUGGCGAACGGGUGAGUAAUGCAUCGGAACGUGCCCAGUAGUGGGGGAUAACGUAGCGAAAGCUACGCUAAUACCGCAUACGAUCUAUGGAUGAAAGCGGGGGAUCGCAAGACCUCGCGCGAUUGGAGCGGCCGAUAUCAGAUUAGGUAGUUGGUAGGGUAAAAGCCUACCAAGCCUUCGAUCUGUAGCUGGUCUGAGAGGACGACCAGCCACACUGGAACUGAGACACGGUCCAGACUCCUACGGGAGGCAG